This 425-nucleotide ribosomal RNA is filed under the name uncultured bacterium. RNAcentral describes it as "partial 16S ribosomal RNA". It matches the Rfam family "Bacterial small subunit ribosomal RNA", at positions 354 to 796 of the family's 1533-position model. The record is from RNAcentral.
GUGGGGAAUAUUGGACAAUGGGCGAAAGCCUGAUCCAGCCAUGCCGCGUGAGUGAUGAAGGCCCUAGGGUUGUAAAGCUCUUUCACCGGGGAAGAUAAUGACGGUACCCGGAGAAGAAGCCCCGGCUAACUUCGUGCCAGCAGCCGCGGUAAUACGAAGGGGGCUAGCGUUGUUCGGAAUUACUGGGCGUAAAGCGCACGUAGGCGGACUAUUAAGUCAGGGGUGAAAUCCCGGGGCUCAACCCCGGAACUGCCUUUGAUACUGGUAGUCUAGAGUUCGAGAGAGGUGAGUGGAAUUCCGAGUGUAGAGGUGAAAUUCGUAGAUAUUCGGAGGAACACCAGUGGCGAAGGCGGCUCACUGGCUCGAUACUGACGCUGAGGUGCGAAAGCGUGGGGAGCAAACAGGAUUAGAAACCCCAGUAGUCC